GCAGUAUGGAAAUUAUGCACAUCCUUUUUCUUAUCUUCCUAUGUUGAAAAUUCUGGUUGCUAUGGCAACAAAUAGACUGAAUUUCAAGAUUUCUUAUUCUAGUUUUUAAGUUUUUUCACUAUAAGUUCUUUAUUUCUUAAGGUAUUUUCUUCAAACUUUAAAUAUAAGUUGCUUGUCAUCAACCAUAUCAUAUUGUGGCAAGGUUUACAACUCUAGUACAAAAUUUAUCAGAAUUACCUCCCUUGAACUUAAAAUUUUCAUGAAAAAAACAUUGUUUUUUUUUAAUAACUUCUUUUUCUGAAGUAUCUACUUCAAACUUCAUAUAAAUGUUUCUUAUUGUCACUCAACAUUUGUGAGUGUUCAAUACUCUAGCAAGACUAUUUCCAGAAUUAUGCCCCUUUUGAACUUAGACUUUUUUUGAGAAAUUGGUAAUUUUUACUCCAACUUCUUCAAUCAUGAUAGGAUUUUAAAAAUGUUAUAUUUUUGAUAACAGGGAUGUUUAAAAAAAUAACUUUAGAGUGUCCUUCAGUCCGUCUGUCUGUACAUAAAAACUGUUUCCUGUGAUCACUUUUAAAGAACUUUUUCAACAAAUUUACUUAAAAUAGGAACCUAAGUGAAUGGCCCUUCAGAAUGUUGCUUGGGCUCUUACCGGUAGGGGACUUAUGGAUUGCUUGCAAUACUAUGAUAAUUGCUUGUUUGAAAAUAUUUUUUUCCUCAAAAACUUAAUCAAAUAACGAACAAAUCAUUAUCAAAAUAGGUACAUUUGUGUAUAAUAAAUAGACAUACUUCUACAAUGUAUUCUAUUAAUUAAUGAAAUUUUGUGUCAUAAUUUGAUUACAACAAACAUUUUGAUGAUAAAACCACUUUAUAUACAUGGACCAUGCCUACUAUGCCUUUAAUAAAUUAAUUAUAAAAUAAGAUAGACGAAACCACUUUCGCACCUCUUCAUAAAUUAAGUCCGCCGAACCGGUAGUUUGACUAAACCACCAUAAUUCAUAUAAAUCCGUGGUAGCACUUUCUCUCGGGCCUAAUUUUUGUUGGAACGGUGGUUUUUUGUCGAUUUAGUAAUUUUCUCUACUCGAACUAGUCUAUAAAGUACUGGCAUGUAUGACGGUCAUGGUAAGGUGCCUAAAUGUUGACAUGGUCAUUGUAAAUAUUCCAGGUCUUUUCGCCUGUGAUUUUCUUUCUUGUAUGACAAAUUCCAAUAAAUGGUCUCUUUCAAAAGGAAAUAAACAUUUAGAUUGUGCAGUUUCCUAAAAAAUUCUAAUCUUAAAUUGCUAAUCAAAUUAGAAAUUUUGGCUCUAACUUUUCCGUCAAAGCCAAGAGGCUAACUUGGUGUUCUUAAAGUGAGAGAAAUCGCUGCUGACAUGGACGUUUAGCCUUUGUGUGUUUUUUUUGCGGUAAAGGGUCUACUCGGGCUUACAUUAACUCGGUCCAGGUCAACUCGGCCUUCUAUUAGAAACCUAUUUUAAUAUGGAUUGUUAACAUUGUUUUGAAAAAAUUUUAGGAGUGAAUUACUAUAGAAGUAUUCAAAGGUAUGAUGGCAUGACCAACAGAAAUUGAAAAAGUUGGCAGUAAACAUGCCUAAAUGUGCUUGUGAAGUUUAAAAGUUAGGUGUAGAUGUGUUUAUGGAGUUAUUAAAAAGCAUUGGUAUUGGCACAACUAAGGUGUUGGGAGGCACAGAUAUAGCAAAGUGUUCAGGUUUGGCUGUGUUUGUGGAGUUGAAGAGUCGAUAUUGGCAAAUUUGGAGCAUUGGGAGAUUGGGAUAUAGUAAAGUGUGCGUGUUAUUGGCAAAUGUAGAACAUAGGAAGAUAAGAUUACAGUGCAUUGUGCAGGCACUCCACCAUGCACUCUUAAUGUAGAGUACUCCUACCCUUGGGAUUAUGCCCAACAAGUGCACUAUCCCAAUCAUUCUCAAUAGGUUGGUUCAAUAUAUUUUAGGACACCAAGAAAGUUCCAUGUGAUUUGUGUUUGUGCGGAGGGAUCAGGACUUCAUGGAAGUGUCAGUCUCAACAUGCUCUGGAAAGUGAAGAAACAAUGCAACAGGUUGCCAGUAUUGUCCUGCAGUCAUCAAGACAUGGCCACAAUAUCCCACAGCUUAUAGAUGAUCUAAAAAGCCAUUGGAAGUCAUUUUAAUAGUAAAACCCCUGAGGCCUGCUGCUCUAAGGACUAAUGCUAUAUUGACUAGUGUGUGGCUAGUGUGUGGAUCAUAUUAAUUAAUGGUUGCCUAUAUUAGUUUUGGAUGUCAGCUUACCAGUUACUUAUUUCCAUAAUGUUUAUAACAUUUCAUGUGAUUGAGUUUAGUGUAAUACAACAUUUGUCACGUCACUUUCAGUUAUAGAAUUGCAUUGAACCUAUGCAUUUUAUGAAUUGAUCGACUGUAAUCCUGUCUUUACAAGUUUUUAAAGUAUUGAUUUCAAGAUAAAUAAACAGUUUUAAUUGGUUGUGUGACUAUAUCUUAUUGAAAAUGACUGCAUAAAAUGUAGAGUAAUAAGCUUCAGUACUUGCUGUCAAGUUUUAAACAUUUUAUAGUUUUAGAAUAUGAAAACUAUCUUAUCUAUAACAAUGAUAGGUCAGUUAAUUUUUAGCCGGGUUGCACUGGUGUAAAUCCGGGUUAUAGUAUGGUGAAUGUCGGGCGGCGGGCGGGGAAAAUAUUUUCGUAACAGUUUUCUCAGCAACUACUUACCACAGCCUCUUGAUAUUUGGCAUACAGCAUUGACACAUGGUCCCAUACCGUGGGACUCGAUUUCAGGUCUGUCGCUCAUCCACUUCCUGUUUAUCCACUUAGUUAAAUUAGUUAGAUUUUUCAACAUUAAUGGUCAAUGGUAGGAAAUUUUCGUAACAGUUUUCUCAGCAACUACUUAUCACAGCCUCUUGAUAUUUGGCAUACAGCAUUGACACAUGGUCCCAUACCGUGGGAUUCGAUUUCAGGUCUGUCGCUCAUCCACUUCCUGUUUAUCCACUUAGUUAAAUUAGUUAGAUUUUUUUCAACAUUAAUGGUCAAUGGUAGGAAAUUUUCGUAACAGUUUUCUCAGCAACUACUUAUCACAGCCUCUUGAUAUUUGGCAUACAGCAUUGACACAUUGUCCCAUACUGUGGGAUUUGAUUUCAGGUCUGUUGCUCAUCCACUUCCUGUUUAUCCACUUAGUUAAAUUAGUUAGAUUUUUCAACAUUAAUGGUCAAUGGUAGGAAAUUUUCGUAACAGUUUUCUCAGCAACUACUUAUCACAGCCUCUUGAUAUUUGGCAUACAGCAUUGACACAUGGUCCCAUACUGUGGGAUUUGAUUUCAGGUCUGUCGCUCAUCCACUUCCUGUUUAUCCACUUAGUUAAAUUAGUUAGAUUUUUCGACAUUAAUGGUCAAUGGUAGGAAAUUUUCGUAACAGUUUUCUCAGCAACUACUUAUCACAGCCUCUUGAUAUUUGGCAUGCAGCAUUGACACAUGGUCCCAUACUGUGGGAUUCGAUUUCAAGUCUGCAGCUCAUCCACUUCCUGUUCACAUUAAUGGUCAAUGGUAGGAAAUUUUUGUAACAUUUUUCUCAGAAACUACUAAUCACAGCCUCUUGAUAUUUGGCAUACAGCAUUGACACAUGGUCCCAUACUGUGGGAUUCGAUUUUAGGUGUGUUAUCCACUUCCUGUUUACUUACUGAAUUAAAUUUUCAACAUUAAUGGGUCAAUGGAAUUUUUUUUUUCGUAACAUCACAGCCUCAUGAUAUUUGGUGUACAAAUGCAACCCGGCCUUUUCUGUCUUUGACCCAUUUUUUAUGUUGAUAUUAGUGUAGAAUCACUUUGUAAAAUUAUCAUAAAUCCUGAACAUUGUUAAAAAAAGCAUGAAAAUCAAAGAAAAUUCCAUGGUAGCUAGGCUACUAAAAUUUCCUUCAGUUAGAAAGGAUUUUUAACAGGAACAACAUAAUAAAAAUACUCUGAAUGUUUGAUAUCAUUGUAACUCUUUCGGAACUUAAUCUCCUAUAUGCCUGUAAAAUUUGGAAAUUUAUAACAAAAUAAUAAUUAUUCAUUAAACACUAAUUAUAUACAAAGACAGUAAGUACCAUUUUUUUGGUAAGAAUUUUCUGUAUGUCAUUAAUAAUUAAUUAUGCUAGUCAAUUCAAAGUCCUUACUGUAUUGUGGAACCACAGUGUAGUUUACACCAGAUGUUCCUGAAAAUACUUUUAUGAAAAUAUGUUUUUCAAAACCUACAUUAAAGUGAGUCUAAGGAUACUUGAUCCAAGAAUCAUUGUUAAGAUUGCACUUAUAGUUCUAAUAUUUUUGUUUUUGUGAUCAUGCUGCUUUGUUCAUGAUAUGUUGAGAUCUUUUUGUGUCGCCUUAAAAAGGCAACAUAUAGGGAUUACUUUUGUCGGCGGUGUCGGUGGCGGCGUCCCCUAAAGAUUGUCCGGAGCAUAACUCAGUCACUAUAAGUCUGAUUGACUUCAAACUUGGUAUGCAUGCUUCUUUCAAUAACCCAAAGUGCAGUGCACAAGAAUCAGUACUCUGCACUUCUUAAUUUUUGAGUUAUUGCCCUUUGUUAAUUUUCAUACUUUAUUUUUGUCUGGGCCAUUUCUCUUCAACUAUAAAAGCUAUGGACUUGAAACUUCAUAGAAUGAUAGAUCUCAUUUAGAAAAAGUGCAGUGCACAAGAACCGGUACUUUGCACUUCCUAAUUUUUGAGUUAUUGCCCUUUGUUAAUUUUCAUAUUUUAUUUUUGUCCAGGUCAUUUCUCCUAAAGUAUAAAAGCUAUGGACAUGUAACUUCAUAGGAUGAUAGAUCUCAUUAAGAAAAUGUGCAUUGUACAAGAACUGGUACUCUGCAUUUCUUAUUUUUGAGUUAUUGCCCUUUAUUGUGUCGCCUUUCUUUUUAGCUCACCUGUCACAAAGUGACAGGGUGAGCUUUUGUGUCGUCCGUCCGUCGUCCGUCCGUAAACUUUUACUUUAAAUGACAUCUCCUCAUAAACCACUAAGCCAAUUUCAUCCAAACUUCACAGGAAUGUUCCUUUGGUGGUCACCUUUAAAAAUUGUUCAAAGAAUUUAAUUCCAUGCAGAACUCUGGUUGCCAUGGCAACCGAAAGAAAAAACUUUAAAUAUCUUCUUUUAAAAAACCAUAAGAGCUAGAGCUUAGAUAUUUGGCAUGAAACAUCUUCUAGUGAGUGUCUACCAAGUUUGUUCAAAUAAAAGCCCUGGGGUCAAAAUUGGCCCCGCCCCAGGGGGUCAUUGAUUUUCCCUAUAUGCAUAUAGUAAAAACUUAAAAAAUCUUCUUUUAAAGAACUCAAAGAGCUAUGGCUAAGAUAUUGAGCAUCAAACAUGUUCUAAUAAGUGUCUACCAAGUUUGUUCAAAUAAAAGCCCUGGGGUCAAAAUUGGCCUUGCCCCAGGGGGUCAUUGAUUUUCCCUAUAUGCAUAUAGUAAAAACUUAAAAAAUCUUCUUUUAAAGAACUCAAAGAGCUAUGGCUAAGAUAUUUAGCAUCAAACAUGUUCUAAUAGGUGUCUACCAAGUUUGUUCAAAUAAAAGCCCUGGGGUCAAAAUUGGCACCGCCCCGGGGGUCAUUGAUUUUCCUUAUAUGUGUAUAGCAAAAACUUAAAAUCUUCUUUGAAAAAACCCAAAUAGCUAGAGUUAAGAUAUUAAGCAUGAAACAUCUUUUAGUGAGUGUCUACAAAGUUUGUUCAAAUAAAAUAAAAGCCCUGGGGUCAAAAUUGGCCCCGUCCCAGGGGGUCAUUGAUUUUCCCUAUAUGCAUAUAGUAAAAACUUAAAAAAUCUUCUUUUAAAGAACCCAAAGAGCUAGAGCUAAGAUAUUUAGCAUGAAACAUCUUCUAAUGGGUGUCUACCAAGUUUGUUCAAAUAAAAGCCCUGGGGUCAAAAUUAGCCCUGCCCCGGGGGUCAUUGAUUUUCCCUAUAUGCAUUUAGUAAAAACUUAAAAAAUCUUCUUUUAAAGAACUCAAAGAGCUAUGGCUAAGAUAUUGAGCAUCAAACAUGUUCUAAUAGGUGUCUACCAAGUUUGUUCAAAUAAAAGCCCUGGGGUCAAAAUUGGCCCCGCCCCAGGGGGCCAUUGAUUUUCCCUAUAUGCAUAUAGUAAAAACGUAAAAAAUCUUCUUUUUAAAGAACCCAAAGAGUUAGAGCUAAGAUAUUUAGCAUGAAACAUGUUCUAAUAAGUGUCUACCAAGUUUGUUCAAAUAAAAGCCCUGGGGUCAAAAUUGGCCCCGCCCCAGGGGGUCAUUGAUUUUCCCUAUAUGCAUAUAGUAAAAACUUAAAAAAUCUUCUUUUAAAGAACUCAAAGAGCUAUGGCUAAGAUAUUUAGCAUCAAACAUGUUCUAAUAGGUGUCUACCAAGUUUGUUCAAAUAAAAGCCCUGGGGUCAAAAUUGGCACCGCCCCAGGGGGUCAUUGAUUUUCCUAAUAUGUGUAUAGCAAAAACUUAAAAUCUUUUUUUUGAAAAAACCCAAAUAGCUAGAGUUAAGAUAUUAAGCAUGAAACAUCUUUUAGUGAGUGUCUACAAAGUUUGUUCAAAUAAAAGCCCUGGGGUCAAAAUUGGCCCCGCCCCGGGGGUCAUUGAUUUUCCUUAUAUGUGUAUAGCAAAAACUUAAAAUCUUCUUUGAAAAAACCCAAAUAUCUAGAGUUUAGAUAUUAAGCAUGAAACAUUUUCUAGUUGGUGUCUACAAAGUUUGUUCAAAUAAAAGCCCUGGGGUCAAAACUGGCCCGGCCCCAGGGGUGUCAUUGUUUUUAACUAUAUGUGUAUAGUAAAAACUUUAAAAAAAUCUUCUUUUAAAAAGCCCAAUGUGCUAGAGCUUAGAUGUUUAGCAUGAAACAUCUUCUUAUGGGUGUCUACCAAAUUUGUGCAAAUAAAAGCCUUUGGGUUAAAAUUUGCCCUGCAACGUAGGGGGGUCCUAUAUACAGGUGAGCGACCUCAGGGCCAUCAUGGCCCUCUUGUUUAUUUGUGCAAUUUCAUCCAAACUUUACAGGAAUGAUCAGUACCAAGUCUAGUUGUGCAUAUUGUCAGCAUUUUCCGGUUCAAUGAUUUUUGUCAGAGUUAUGGCCCUUUAAUAAUUUUUGUUUUUUAAGUUUGUCCGGACUACUUCUCUUAUACCACUAAUGCAAUUUCAAUGAAACUUUACAGGAUUGAUCUGUAGCUCAAGUCCUUGCUCAUAUUGCACGGGUUUUCGGGUUGAAUGAUUUUUGGCUGAGUUAUGGCCCUUUGAUAAAAAGGUGUUUUUUUCUGUGUGUUGCCAGUUACACAAAAGCAUGUUCGGACUACUCCUCAUAAAUUACUGGUGCAAUUUCAUCCAAACUUUACAGGAAUGAUCAGUACCAAGUCUAGUUGUGCAUAUUGUCAGCAUUAUCCGGUUCAAUGAUUUUUUUUGUCAGAGUUAUGGCCCUUUAAUAAUUUUUAUAUGCCCGAAAGAAUUUCGGGCAUAUUAUGUUAUACCCCCUGGCGUCCGUCUGUCCGUCCGUCCGUCCGUUAGUAAUUUGGUUUCCGGAGCAUAACUUAAGUUCCAUUUGGCCCACAGUAUUCAAAUUUCAUAGGAUGAUUGCCCAUAUUGGGUAGAAGACCCCUAUUGAUUUUGGGGUCACAAGGUCAAAGGUCAAGGUCACUAUUAGCUAAAUACUGAAAAUGGUUUCCGGAGCAUAACUUAAGUUCCAUUUGGCCCACAGUAUUCAAACUUCAUAGGAUGAUUGCCCAUAUUGAGAAGAAAACCCCUAUUGAUUUUGGGGUCACAAGGUCAAAGGUCAAGGUCACUAUUACAUAAAUACUGAAAAUGGUUUCCGGAGCAUAACUUAAGUUCUGUUUGACCCACAGUAUUCAAACUUCAUAGGAUGAUUGCCUAUAUUGGGUAGAAGACCCCUAUUGAUUUUGGGGUCACAAGGUCAAAGGUCAAGGUCACUAUUAGCUAAAUACUGAAAAUGGUUUCCGGAGCAUAACUUAAGUUCCAUUUGGCCCACAGUAUUCAAUCUUCAUAGGAUGAUUGCCCAUAUUGAGAAGAAAUCCCCUAUUGAUUUUGGGGUCACAAGGUCAAAGGUCAAGGUCACUAUUAGCUAAAUACUGAAAAUGGUUUCCGGAGCAUAACUUAAGUUCUGUUUGACCCACAGUAUUCAAACUUCAUAGGAUGAUUGUCCAUAUUGGGUAGAAGACCCCUAUUGAUUUUGGGGUCACAAGGUCAAAGGUCAAGGUCACUAUUAGCUAAAUACUGAAAAUGGUUUCCGGAGCAUAACUUAAGUUCCAUUUGGCCCACAGUAUUCAAACUUCAUAGGAUGAUUGCCCAUAUUGAGAAGAAAACCCCUAUUGAUUUUGGGGUCACAAGGUCAAAGGUCAAGGUCACUAUUAGCUAAAUACUGAAAAUGGUUUCCGGAGCAUAACUUAAGUUCUGUUUGACCCACAGUAUUCAAACUUCAUAGGAUGAUUGUCCAUAUUGAGUAGAAGACCCCUAUUGAUUUUGGGGUCACAAGGUCAAAGGUCAAGGUCACUAUUAGCUUAAUACUGAAAAUGAUUUCCGGACCAUAACUUAAGUUCCAUUUUGCCCACAGUAUUCAAACUUCAUAGGAUGAGUGUCCAUAUUGAAAAGAAGACCCCUAUUGAUUUUGGGGUCACAAGGUUAAAGGUCAAGGUCACUAUUAGCUUAGUAUUGAAAAUUGUUUCCGGAGCAAAACUUAAGUUCCAUUUGGCCCACAGUAUUCAAACUUCAUAGGAUGAUUGCCUAUAUUGGGUAGAAGACCCCUAUUGAUUUUGGGGUCACAAGGUCAAAGGUCAAGGUCACUAUUAGCUAAAUACUGAAAAUGGUUUCCGGAGCAUAACUUAAGUUCCAUUUGACCCACAGUAUUCAAACUUCAUAGGAUGAUUGUCCAUAUUAAAUAGAAGACCCCUAUUGAUUUUGAGGUCACAAGGUCAAAGGUCAAGGUCACUUUAAGCUUAAUACUGAAAAUGGUUUCCGGAGCAUAACUUAAGUGCCAUUUGGCCAACAGUAUUCAAACUUCAUAGGAUGAUUGUUCAUAUUGGGUAGAAGACUGCUAUUGAUUUUGGGGUCACAAGGUCAAAUAUCAAGGGAUUACUAUCACCUUUAAGCUGGAAACAGUUUUCGCUCAAUAAAUUUUAUAGGAUUAACAGCUUUAUACCCCUGAAGUCUUGGUGUCCAUCCAUUGUAGCAUUUUUACUUACACGAUAACAACUUGAUGGUGGUGCUUUGAAAACAGCAACUGUAUAUAUACAUGAAUGUCUUCAGCUAUAAAGGAGGAUUGCUUUUUUGAAGGAGGUAAAACUGUAUUUAAUUCCCAUGUCUUCCUCACUAAAAGAAAAAGUACUUUCGGGCAUAUAAUGCUCCGCCUAGCGGUGCUCUUGUUAUUUUUAAAGUUUGUCCGGACUACUUCUCUUAUACCACUAAUGCAAUUUCAAUGAAACUUUACAGGAUUAAUUUGAGGCUCAAGUUCUUGCGCAUAUUGCACAGGUUUUCCGGUUGAAUGAUUUUUGGCUGAGUUAUGGCCCUUUGAUAAAAAGGUGUUUUUUUGUGUGUUGCCAGAUACACAAAAGCUUCUCGGGACUACUCAUAAACUACUGGUGCAAUUUUAUCCAAACUUUACAGGAAUGAUCAGUACCAAGUCUAGUUGUGCACUGUCCUUCUGUCUGUUCGUCUGUCACAAAUCUUGUCCCAGCAUGAAAUUGGCCAUCAUGAGGCGACACAUGUGAUCACUGAUCGCUCUUGUUAAUUUUCAUACUGUAUUUUGUCCAGGCCAUUUCUCAUAAAUUAUAAAAGCUAUGGUCUUGAAACUUCAUAGGAUGCUAUGUCUUAUUGAUAAGAAGUGCAGUGCAAAGAAACUGCUGCUCUGCACUUCUUAUUUUUAGCUCACAUGAGCCGAAGGCUCAGGGUGAGCUAUUAGUAUCAAAGGGGGAUCAAAGGGGGAUGCUCCGUCGUCCGUCGUCAUGCGUCAGCAAUUGUCUUCUUCUCUGAAACUACAAGGCAGAUUUACUUCAAAUUUGGUCUGUAGCAUCCUUGAAUUUGCUCAUGUCAUUCCAAUUUAGGGGUGUGGAUCGUCGGAUAAGUGACGAUCCGAUCCAAACCACUAUUUAGCACUUACGAUUCACAAAUCAAACCACAAAUCUUUUGUUAUCAAGACACCCAUAAAAACAUGUACAUUAGUUAUAAAAACAUGUUUAUUUAAAAAAAAAAAACAAUACUAAACAUUAAACAUAUAAAAUAUAAACUAGGUUUAUGUUUUUAGCUCAUCUGUCACAAAGUGACAGGGUGAGCUUUUGUGAUCGCUUUUCGUCCGGCGUCCGUCCGUCCGUCGUCCGUCCGUCCGUAAACUUUUGCUUUAAAUGACAUCUCCUCAUAAACCACUGAGCCAAUUUCAUCCAAACUUCACAGGAAUGUUCCUUUGGUGGUCACCUUUAAAAAUUGUUCAAAGAAUUUAAUUCCAUGCAGAACUCUGGUUGCCAUGGCAACCGAAAGAAAAAUCUUUAAAUAUCUUCUUUUAAAGAACUGUAAGAGCUAGAGCUUAGAUAUUUGGCAUGAAACAUCUUCUAAAGAGUGUCUACCAAGUUUGUUCAAAUAAAAGCCCUGGGGUCAAAAUUGGCCCCGCCCCAGGGGGUCAUUGAUUUUCCCUAUAUGCAUAUAGUAAAAAAUUAAAAAAUCUUCUUUUAAAGAACUGUAAGAGCUAGAGCUUAGAUAUUUGGCAUGAAACAUCUUCUAGUGAAUGUCUACCAAGUUUGUUCAAAUAAAAGCCCUGGGGUCAAAAUUGGCCCCGCCCCAGGGGGUCAUUGAUUUUCCCUAAAUGCAUAUAGUAAAAACUUAAAAAAUCUUCUUUUAAAGAACCCAAAGAGCUAGAGCUAAGAUAUUUAGCAUGAAACAUCUUCUAGUGAGUGUCUACCAAGUUUGUUCAAAUAAAAGUCCUGGGGUCAAAAUUGGCCCCGCCCUGGGGGGUCAUUGAUUUUCCCUAUAUGCAUAUAGUAAAAACUUAAAAAAUCUUCUUUUAAAGAACCGUAAGAGCUAGAGCUUAGAGUUUUGGCAUGAAACAUCUUCUUGUGAAUGUCUACCAAGUUUGUUCAAAUAAAAGCCCUGGGGUCAAAAUUGGCCCCGCCCCAGGGGGUCAUUGAUUUUCCCUAUAUGCAUAUAGAAAAAAACUUAAAAAAUCUUCUUUUAAAGAACCCAAAGAGCUAGAGCUAAGAUAUUUAGCAUGAAACAUGUUCUAAUAGGUGUCUACCAAGUAUGUUCAAAUAAAAGCCCUGGGGUCAAAACUGGCCCCGCCCCGGGGGUCAUUGAUUUUCCUUAUAUGUGUAUAGCAAAAACUUAAAAAUCU
Ruditapes philippinarum (Manila clam) is the source of this 11265-nucleotide long non-coding RNA. RefSeq lists it as uncharacterized. NCBI's taxonomy places the organism in Eukaryota, Metazoa, Mollusca, Bivalvia, Venerida, Veneridae. The record is from RefSeq and is a predicted model, not a curated record. The transcript has 5 exons.